CUGCCGAUCUGCCUCGACAGUGAUCCGUGCGCGUGUGAAAGAACGCUAUUAAAAUGAUAAGAGAGAACUUCAAACCAGAUUAAACCGAGCUGCGCGCCGCUAAACGGGACGCCGUCGCCACCGACCGGAUACUUUCACGGAGUCGUUUGCGCGGCACUCUUCCUGUCUCCAUCUCUCUCUCUCUCUCUCUCUCUCUUUCUCUCGUCAUUAAUCUCGUGGCAGCGCUGCAGGAAACAGCCUUUCACAGGCAGCUGGAAUUUCAUCUCCUCCCUCGGUCUUUAUUACUCUUCCACUCAACCUAUCCCUCGUUCACCCCCCUCCUUCUCUCUCUCUCUCUCUCGCUCUAUCUCUCCCUCCGUUUAUUACGGCGCUCUAAUCACUCGCGCGCAGGUAACAGAACACUGCGCUGCACACAAUAGAGCCGGCCUUCAUAGCACCUCUACGCACACACAAACAGAAGCCAGGGCUCAUAAACUAACACGCACACACAUAAGCGCACAGCCUCUAAAUCGCACACGCCGUGGAUUCUUCUCUCAGAAGGGCAGGGCUUCAUGAUUUGGAUGUUUCCUGAGGAAGGAGCCACAUGUGCUGUUGAUUACAGCGCUGAAUGCUAGCGGCUGGUGCGUGUGUUUACAAUCAUUUUUUGUCUUUACAUCCGUUGGAUUUCUAGUAUGCAUUACCAGUACUUUGAAAUAUAAAAAAUAUGGACAAAUUUGCAUCGAUUUGCAGUGACAAAGCGAAAUUUUCAGUCAGAGCAGAUGUGAUACAGCAACUCCACAGGCCCAUUCACACCAGACGGUAACUUUAAUGUCGAAGCUUUAAAAAAAAAAAAAAAGAAACUCAAAAUGUAAUUCUAUAAGAGUGAAGUUCAUACUAGAACUAUAAGGUUAACGACAAAGAGGAACGAUAUUAUUGGAAUAGCUUUCAGAGCAAUUUUUUCCAGCUUUCAGAAUCCACCUGAUUCUAAAAGUUUCUAAAAGGAAUUGCAAGUUUAUAUCUCUUAAUUCUUUGUUUAUAUCUUGCAAUCGUUACGUUUACAACGUAAUACAAAGUCACAAUUAUUUUUUUUUUCUUCCACAUACUAAUAUAAUAUUUCUGUUGUUAGAAAGUGGCGUACAUGAUAUUUGCCUCUGUUUAGAUACUCUAAGAAGAUAUGGAUAGUGUAGUGCUAACUAGGCUAGCGACCGAC
This is a long non-coding RNA of Cyprinus carpio (common carp), 1189 nucleotides long. Lineage: Eukaryota; Metazoa; Chordata; Actinopteri; Cypriniformes; Cyprinidae. The record is from Ensembl.